Molecule: ribosomal RNA, 1468 nt
Filed under: uncultured Bordetella sp.
Lineage: Bacteria; Pseudomonadati; Pseudomonadota; Betaproteobacteria; Burkholderiales; Alcaligenaceae
Description: partial 16S-23S ribosomal RNA intergenic spacer
Rfam family: Bacterial small subunit ribosomal RNA
Source: RNAcentral
AGUUUGAUCAUGGCUCAGAUUGAACGCUGGCGGGAUGCUUUACACAUGCAAGUCGAACGGCAGCACGGACUUCGGUCUGGUGGCGAGUGGCGAACGGGUGAGUAAUGUAUCGGAACGUGCCUAGUAAAGGGGGAUAACUACGCGAAAGCGUAGCCAAUACCGCAUACGCCCUUCGGGAAAGCGGGGACCUUUCGGGCCUCGCACUAUUAGAGUGGCCGAUAUCGGAUUAGCUAGUUGGCAGGGUAACGGCUCACUGUAUGACGAUCCGUAGCUGGUUUGAGAGGACGACCAGCCACACUGGGACUGAGACACGGCCCAGACUCCUACGGGAGGCAGCAGUGGGGAAUUUUGGACAAUGGGGGGAAACCCUGAUCCAGCCAUCCCGCGUGUGCGAUGAAGGCCUUCGGGUUGUAAAGCACUUUUGGCAGGAAGAAACGGCACGGGAUAAUACCCCGUGCAACUGACGGUACCUGCAGAAUAAGCACCGGCUAACUACGUGCCAGCAGCCGCGGUAAUACGUAGGUGUAAGCGUUAAUCGGAAUUACUGGGCGUAAAGCGUGCGCAGGUUCGGAAAAGAAAGAUGUGGAAAUCCCAGAGCUUAACUUUGGAACUGCAUUUUUAACUACCGAGCUAGAGUGUGUCAGAGGGAGGUAAAUUCCGCGUGUAGCAGUGAAAUGCGUAGAUAUGCGGAGGAACACCGAUGGCGAAGGCAGCCUCCUGGGAUAACACUGACGCCUAUGCACGAAAGCGUGGGGAGCAAACAGGAUAGAUACCCUGGUAGUCUGGUCACGCCCCAAACGAAGUCAACCACGUUGGGGCCUUUGGCCUUGGGUAGCGCAGCUAACGCGUGAAGCUGACCGCCUGGGGAGUACGGUCGCAAGAUUAAAAACUCAAAGGAAUUGACGGGGACCCGCACAAGCGUGGAUGAUGUGGAUUAAUUCCGAUGCGACGCGAAAACUCACUUCACUCCCUGGAUAUGUCUGGAAUCCCGGAAGAGAUUUGGGGAGUGCCUCAGAGAACCGGAACACAGGUGCUGCAUGGCUGUCGUCAGUUCGUGUCGUGAGAUGCUGGGUUAAGUCCCGCAACGAGUAAACCCUUGUCAUUAGUUGCUAUUAGGGCACUAAUGAGACUGCCGGUGACAAACCGGAGGAAGGUGGGGAUGACGUCGAACCUCAUGGCCCUUAUAGUAGGGCUUCACACUAUUAUACAAUGGUCGGGACAGAGGGUCGCCAACCCGCGAGGGGAGCCAAUCCCAGAAACCCGAUCAGUCCGAUCGCAUGCGUCUGCAACUCGACCGUGAAGCCGGAAUCGCUAGUAUCGCGAUCAGCAUGUCGCGGUGAAUAUGCUCCCGGGUUCGUACACACCGCCUGGCUCCACCAUGGGAGUGGGUUUUACCAGAAGUAGCUAGCCUAACCGUAUGAGGGCGAUUACCAUUAGUGAGAUUCAUGAUCAGCGGUGUCGUAAUGCC